RNAcentral lists this ribosomal RNA (468 nucleotides) under uncultured bacterium. RNAcentral's name for it is "partial 16S ribosomal RNA". It matches the Rfam family "Bacterial small subunit ribosomal RNA", at positions 28 to 507 of the family's 1533-position model. The record is from RNAcentral.
GACGAACGCUGGCGGCGUGCUUAACACAUGCAAGUCGAACGGAAAGGCCCUGCUUUUGUGGGGUGCUCGAGUGGCGAACGGGUGAGUAACACGUGAGUAACCUGCCCUUGACUUUGGGAUAACUUCAGGAAACUGGGGCUAAUACCGGAUAGGAGCUCCUGCUGCAUGGUGGGGGUUGGAAAGUUUCGGCGGUUGGGGAUGGACUCGCGGCUUAUCAGCUUGUUGGUGGGGUAAUGGCUUACCAAGGCUUUGACGGGUAGCCGGCCUGAGAGGGUGACCGGCCACAUUGGGACUGAGAUACGGCCCAGACUCCUACGGGAGGCAGCAGUGGGGAAUAUUGCACAAUGGGUGGAAGCCUGAUGCAGCAACGCCGCGUGCGGGAUGACGGCCUUCGGGUUGUAAACCGCUUUCGCCUGUGACGAAGCGUGAGUGACGGUAAUGGGUAAAGAAGCACCGGCUAACUACGUG